GAGCGAGUAAGUCCCUCUCGAAAGGAUGAUGCUGCUCAUGAGCAGGUGGGACGAUUAGAGAGGGGUUCACCA
The submitters of this non-coding RNA (72 nucleotides) gave its source as unclassified sequences. The record is from Rfam.